RNAcentral lists this ribosomal RNA (465 nucleotides) under uncultured bacterium. RNAcentral describes it as "partial 16S ribosomal RNA". It matches the Rfam family "Bacterial small subunit ribosomal RNA", at positions 338 to 795 of the family's 1533-position model. The record is from RNAcentral.
CCUACGGGGGGCAGCAGUGGGGAAUGUUGCGCAAUGAGCGAAAGAGUGACGCAGCGACGCCGCGUGAAUGACGAAGGCCUUCGGGACGUAAAGCUCUUUCGACAGGGAAGAAAAUGCCUAUAAGUAACUGUGUAUGUAUUGACGGUACCGGUAUAAGUAGCCCCGGCUAACGCCGUGCCAGCAGCCGCGGUAAUACGGAGGGGGCGUGCGUUGUUCGGAGGGACUGGGCGUAAAGGGCACGUAGGCGGUGUUGUAAGUCAUUAGUCAAAGACCAGGGCUCAACUUUAGUAAGGCUAGUGAUACUGUCAUACUAGAGUAUGAGAGAGGAUUGCAGAAUUCCUGGUGUAGCGGUGAAAUGCGUAGAUAUCAGGAGGAAUACCGUUCGCGAAGGCGGCAAUCUGGCUGGAAACUGACGCUGAGGUGCGAAAGCGUGGGUAGCAAACAGGAUUAGAUACCCUUGUAGUC